GUUUAACGGCCGCGGUAUUUUGACCGUGCAAAGGUAGCGCAAUCACUUGUCUUUUAAAUAAAGACCUGUAUGAAUGGCAUAACGAGGGCUAAACUGUCUCCUCACCCCAGUUAAUGAAAUUGGAUCUUCCCGUGCAGAAGCGGGAAUUGGCCCAUAAGACGAGAAGACCCUGUGGAGCUUCAGACAAAUAGAUGAAUUUAUUAAACAAUAACACCAUAUAAAAGGUAACUAAAACAAUAACCUCAUCCUAAGUCUUUAGUUGGGGCGACCGCAGAGCAAAAUAAAACCUCCGUGAGGAAUGAGGUAAAAACCUUAUACCCAAGAAUGUCAUUUCUAAGUACCAAAAUAUUUGACCUAUAGAUCCGGCAAUAACCGAUCAACGAACCUAGUUACCCCAGGGAUAACAGCGCAAUCCUCUUUGAGAGUCCCUAUCGACAAGAGGGUUUACGACCUCGAUGUUGGAUCAGGACAUCCUAAUGGUGUAG
This 485-nucleotide ribosomal RNA is filed under the name Hippocampus reidi (slender seahorse). RNAcentral describes it as "partial 16S ribosomal RNA". It matches the Rfam family "Bacterial large subunit ribosomal RNA", at positions 1922 to 2558 of the family's 2925-position model. Lineage: Eukaryota; Metazoa; Chordata; Actinopteri; Syngnathiformes; Syngnathidae. The record is from RNAcentral.